This 301-nucleotide ribosomal RNA is filed under the name uncultured bacterium. RNAcentral describes it as "partial 16S ribosomal RNA". It matches the Rfam family "Bacterial small subunit ribosomal RNA", at positions 509 to 807 of the family's 1533-position model. The record is from RNAcentral.
CAGUCGCCACGGUAAUACAGAGGGUGCGAGCGUUAAUCGGAUUUACUGGGCGUAAAGCGUGCGUAGGCGGCUUCUUAAGUCGGAUGUGAAAUCCCUGAGCUUAACUUAGGAAUUGCAUUCGAUACUGGGAAGCUAGAGUAUGGGAGAGGAUGGUAGAAUUCCAGGUGUAGCGGUGAAAUGCGUAGAGAUCUGGAGGAAUACCGAUGGCGAAGGCAGCCAUCUGGCCUAAUACUGACGCUGAGGUACGAAAGCAUAGGGAGCAAACAGGAUUAGAGACCCCCGUAGUCCCUGUCUCUUAUAC